CUUUCCUUGAUGACGACUGGCGCACGGGUGAGUAACGCGUAUCCAACCUUCCCAUAACUACGGGAUAACCCGUUGAAAGACGGCCUAAUACCGUAUGAUAUCGUUUGCUGACAUCAAAUAACGAUUAAAGGUUUAGCGGUUAUGGAUGGGGAUGCGUCUGAUUAGCUUGUUGGCGGGGUAACGGCCCACCAAGGCGACGAUCAGUAGGGGUUCUGAGAGGAAGGUCCCCCACAUUGGAACUGAGACGCGGUCCAA
This 255-nucleotide ribosomal RNA is filed under the name uncultured Bacteroidales bacterium. RNAcentral's name for it is "partial 16S ribosomal RNA". It matches the Rfam family "Bacterial small subunit ribosomal RNA", at positions 79 to 334 of the family's 1533-position model. Lineage: Bacteria; Pseudomonadati; Bacteroidota; Bacteroidia; Bacteroidales. The record is from RNAcentral.